GACGUAGGGCGCGAGCGUUGUCCGGAUUUAUUGGGCGUAAAGAGCUCGUAGGCGGUCUGUCGCGUCUGCUGUGAAAAUCCAGGGCUCAACCCUGGACCUGCAGUGGAUACGGGCAGACUAGAGUGCGGUAGGGGAGAUCGGAAUUCCUGGUGUAGCGGUGAAAUGCGCAGAUAUCAGGAGGAACACCGGUGGCGAAGGCGGAUCUCUGGGCCGUAACUGACGCUGAGGAGCGAAAGCAUGGGGAGCGAACAGG
Molecule: ribosomal RNA, 253 nt
Filed under: uncultured bacterium
Lineage: Bacteria
Description: partial 16S ribosomal RNA
Rfam family: Bacterial small subunit ribosomal RNA
Source: RNAcentral